Molecule: small RNA, 125 nt
Filed under: Marmota monax (woodchuck)
Lineage: Eukaryota; Metazoa; Chordata; Mammalia; Rodentia; Sciuridae
Source: RNAcentral
GCUGGGCAUGGUGGCUCAUGCCUGUAAUCCCAGCAGCUUGAGAGGCUGAGGCAGGAGGAUCACAAGUUCAAAGCCAGGCUCAGCAAAAGUGAAGUGCUAAGCAACUCAGUGAGACCCUGUCUCUA